ACUCAAAGAAGAAAGAAAAAA
This 21-nucleotide small RNA is filed under the name Arabidopsis thaliana (thale cress). RNAcentral's name for it is "ATSL248270". Lineage: Eukaryota; Viridiplantae; Streptophyta; Magnoliopsida; Brassicales; Brassicaceae. The record is from RNAcentral.